ACUGGUGGGUGUCCCAAGUUCUACGGAGUCAUUCCGCGGCCAGCGGCCUUGCGACCCGAUUGCGACGCCUUUUUAUCUGUUAAGAAUUUCUGCCUGGAUCGUCCUCCCACCCCCAUCUUGGCCAGGGGACAGGAAAGCAACUGUGUUAACGGAGUGAAAUGGGGGCGGGCGCUGCGCACAACACGUGGACCGAAAGUCACCGUGGCCACCACCCCGGUGUACUGUGUGUAAUCUUGGUGUGUGAAGAGACCAGAAGAAGGUGCUAGAUCCCCUGGAACUGGAGUUACAGAAGCCACCAUGAGGAUGCUAGGAAUCAAACCCAGGUCCUCUGCAAGAGAGCAAGUGCUUUUGACAGCUGAGCCACCUCUUCAGCCACCUCUUGAAGCCUAUUUUGCUCCAUUGAUCUAUUCAUAUUCUAAUGCCACUAAUACAUGCUAUGUAUUUUGACACAAUUUAAAAAAGUAAUUCAUAGUACAUGUACAAAUGAUAAAUGCACAAUUUGUUGGUUUGUGAUUGGCUCUUGCUCUGUAGCACAGGCUGGCUCGGAAGUCACUAUGUAGUCUAGGCAAUCCUGCCUUACCCUCAAGAGUUCUGGAACUACAAGUAUAAGUUGCCAUAUGGUCAUUUUAUAUGUACAUAUUUUUUUCAAAAAUGGAUUAUCUUUUGUAAGCAGCACCAAAUCAAGAAGAAACAUUACCUAUGUCUGAGAAGCCACUCAUGAGCCCUUUCCUGUCAGUACUCUCCUCAAGAGGAAAUCGCAGAAUAUGUACUCUCUUGUGUCUAGCUUCCUUUGAAUUACUUAAGCAAGAUUCAGGCUUAAUGUAUAUAAAGCUUGUCUAUUUAUCAUUCUUACUGUGUCAUAGUAUAUUGUGAAAAUUGUCCAUAAUUUGCUUUUCUGUCUUAUUGCUAAUGUUAUUUUUUAUUGGAAUCACAUAUUUUUAAAGGAGGAUUGUUGUAUUUAUAAUCUAGAAUCUUCACAUAAGUUUAUGUCAUGG
Molecule: long non-coding RNA, 995 nt
Filed under: Mus pahari (shrew mouse)
Lineage: Eukaryota; Metazoa; Chordata; Mammalia; Rodentia; Muridae
Description: lncRNA (MGP_PahariEiJ_G0005752.1)
Source: RNAcentral